AUAACAAUACCGGGCUUUAUGAGUCUGGUAAUUGGAAUGAGUACAAUCUAAAUCCCUUUACGAGGAUCCAUUGGAGGGCAAGUCUGGUGCCAGCAGCCGCGGUGAUUCCAGUUCCAA
This 117-nucleotide ribosomal RNA is filed under the name Nicotiana attenuata. RNAcentral's name for it is "rRNA SSU_rRNA_eukarya". It matches the Rfam family "Eukaryotic small subunit ribosomal RNA", at positions 477 to 594 of the family's 1831-position model. Lineage: Eukaryota; Viridiplantae; Streptophyta; Magnoliopsida; Solanales; Solanaceae. The record is from RNAcentral.